UUAGCCAUUAAUUUGCAGCAUUUGAUUAAUUAAAUGAGUACCCAAAUAAUCUGAUAACUAUUAUGAACAAUUAAUAUCUCAAAAUAUUAGAUUAAAACUCUAGCCCAAAUCCCACACUAGACCAUGGAGCAUCUAAUAGAAUUACAAAGGCCGCAUAUGAAUAAAUGAUAAAAGACUCUUUGGGCAUCCUCCACGAACAAUGCGGCGGCUCACCUCAAUAACUAAAUCAAUUCUAGAGAACUCGUCGGCUACUAGCUUCGUCUUCACCAAUAGUAUCUGCAUGGACAGGGAGGUAAGGAGUGAGUUAUACGUAAAUAUAACCCAGUAAGAUCAUCGACCCGCCAGUCUGAAUACCUCUGGAACAAGUGUUAGAAAAUAUACACACAAUGAGCACACAAAUAAUACGCACAGAAAUUCUUUUAUCAUAUAAUUACUCUAUAAGGUCCAAAUAAUUAUUCAACAACAAUACUACAUAUAUCUCAACACAAUCUACACUAAGGACUUGUCAUUAACGGCAAUGUAGGAAAUUAACCAAACACCCCAACGAGUCCACGGUAGCAUACACAAUGCCCCAAAUCUAUCACGACGGCAUAUACAAUGUCCCAAAUAUAUAGCGGCAGCAUACACAAUGCCCCAAAUAUAUAGCGGCGGCACAUAAAAUGCCGCAAAUCUAUAGCGGCGGCAUACACAAUGCCCCAAAUCUGUCACGGCGGCAUACACAAUGCCCCAAAUAUAUUACGUCAGCGAAGAAAUAAUUUAUAACGCUCCAACGCCAUAGCACAAGGCUACACCCCAUCACACCUACACUACAAAUCACUUAUUAAAUAAUUUUAGCCUUUUACAAAAUAAUAUAUUUCUGCGGCUGGUCAAAGACCACCGAUUCUGUCAAGCACACGCUCGUUCCAACACAUUGACCAGGCAGAAAUAAAAUAUACUUCCAAAAUAGAUAUUAGAAAAGCAAGCAUCAAAACUUAAAGUCUCACUUACCUCACUAACGGGAAGUUCCCCAAUUUUGCAAUGCCUAGAACACCAACCAAACGACCUCAAAUGGCCUCAAUCUAUUCAAAAUAUUGAAUAACACGUCCUAAUUAGUCUAGGUGAAUAAUUUUCAUAAUCUUAGGACAAGUCAAAAUCAAAGUGAACCCCCGAUCCAAUUACUAAAAAUCUGAACAAAUUAGCAAACGCAGAACAUGAAUGUCGCAGCAAUGCAACUGUAGAAUACGUUACAAUGCCUUAAUUUACCCAAUCUUAUUAGGGCAUCUCCAACCUUUACCCCAUUUUUGGUCCCCAAAAUGGGGAUUUCCCCAUUUUGGGGACAACUUACUCCAACCAUUCCCCCAUCUUUUUCCCCAAACUUUUUUAUAUUCUUCUAAUUCUUCUAUGUUAUAUUAUUUUCUUUCAUUUCAAUUUCAUUUUUUAAUUUCUAUUAAACAAAUUCCAUCUUUUAUUUUUAUUAAUUUGUAAUUUCCAUAAUUAAAACAAUUCCAUAAAAUUUUAAAUAAUAUAAUUUGUAAGCAAUAUUAUAGAUUAACUAAUAACUCAAAUAAAAGUGAAAUCAUUGCAAUAAAAGAUUAAUUAAAUACAUAUUACAUAACGAUAAAAUUCAUUCGAAUUACCUGAUAAAUAUUCAACUUCAACCUCUAGUAUUCUCCCAUAAAUGAUCUAUUAAUGCAUUACGAAGUGCAAAUUGAGCAUCUUUGUCCUUAAUUCUUCUAUGUCGUAAUAAAAAUUCUUGAAAUCGUUGAUUUUCAUCUACUGCCAUUUCUACAUAAAAAUAAAUGCACGAAAAUUAAUUUAUCAAAAUUAUACACCAAAGUUAAGAUAUAAUAUUAAUAUUAUAAAGACAUUACAUAAACAUAAUUAGAUAUAUAUAUAAAGAGAUAAAUUAAAAGAUUAAAUAAUAAAAUAAUAAUAAUAAAAAAGUGAUGAAUAGUAAUCGGGGAGAUGAAUAGUGUACCCCCUUAUUUGAGGGAAUAUUAUUCAUCCCCAUUUUGGGGACAAAAAUGGGGAGGGUUGGAGCUAAUUUUCCUCAAAUAUUUCCCUCAUUACGAGGAUGGGGCAAGGUGGGAGAUAGCUUUAUAAACCAUUCUAAUCAUUGAAUCAUCACUACUUUAUCUAUAAAUUAUGGGCUAAUCAUUAAUUAAUCACUGAAAGUCCAAUUUGGUGCCGUAAAAAUCUAGACUUUGUAGUAGUAGAAGUCAGUAAUUCUUUUCCCCAAAAACUAUACAACGAAACAUAUCCUUAAUCCCUUAAUUAUUACUUAUAUUCAAAAUCCUUACCAAAAUCACUACACAUACCUGAAGCCUGCAAGUUUAUUCCCUUCCUUGGCUUCGUCAAUAGUGACGCCACAAUUUGAGCUCGUUUACGCUGCCGCGUCAGUUUUCUUCUAAAGUCCUCCAUUUUUUUCUUUUCUUUUUU
This 2418-nucleotide long non-coding RNA is filed under the name Nicotiana tabacum (common tobacco). Its description in RNAcentral is "long non-coding RNA (NTAB_LNC012268)". The record is from RNAcentral. Lineage: Eukaryota; Viridiplantae; Streptophyta; Magnoliopsida; Solanales; Solanaceae.